UGCUCUCGCGAGGUCGCUUCUCUUUGUAUGCGCCAUUGUAGCACGUGU
Molecule: ribosomal RNA, 48 nt
Filed under: Escherichia coli DEC2B
Lineage: Bacteria; Pseudomonadati; Pseudomonadota; Gammaproteobacteria; Enterobacterales; Enterobacteriaceae
Source: RNAcentral